Molecule: ribosomal RNA, 865 nt
Filed under: Goniopora columna
Lineage: Eukaryota; Metazoa; Cnidaria; Anthozoa; Scleractinia; Poritidae
Description: partial 12S ribosomal RNA
Rfam family: Bacterial small subunit ribosomal RNA
Source: RNAcentral
CGUUAUGCUAAGGGUUACUGUCAUGACGCAGCGUAACAAGAAUUUUGUGCAAUAUACGAAAGUAAGACACAGAGAGGGCACAUUACCUAGUCCGUCAAAUUAAGUGCCAGCAGACGCGGUGAAACUUAAGGGCUAGUCUUAUAGGCAAAAGCGUAAAGGGUGUGAUAGGCCGUUUUAUUUAAGAGAGUAAAUGGAAUUUUUCUGUAACGGUGGUAUGUGUAAAUAGGAAAAAGAACUUUAGACGUGAAGACUAUUUACUUCUAAGAUUAUAAUGUGUUGGCUAAAACACGAGAGUAUGGGGAGCAAACAGGAUUAGGUACCCUGGUAGUCCAUACUGUAAAUAAUGAAAAAGAUGUGAAGCAAUUCUAAAAGGUAAAAACUUUUCCGCUUGAGUAGUACGAUCGCAAGAUUAAAAUUCAAAAAACUUGGCUGUUCACUGUUUUGAUUAGAGGAGCGUGUCGUUUAAUUCGAUAGUCCGCGAGAGACCUUACCCAAACUUGAAUCCCUCAUUGACAGGUAUUGCAUGGCCGUCGUCAAUUUGUGUAUUAAACAUAAAACAAAUUCAACCCAGUGGUUUGUCUAUUGGAUGAAGUCAGGUCUUAUUGUCCUAAUGUUUGGGGAUUAGAUGCGCUACAUUUUUUUAUACAAUGGGAAACUUUAAGUGUGAAACCCAAAAAUAAGAGUUCGGAAGGUGCCUGUAAUAUAACGGGAAGUUGGAUUUAAUAGUAAUUGAAAAGUAGAGCGUUUCAAUGAAAUUUAUUCAGUGUUAGUACAAAUUGCCCGUCGCCUUUGCUUAGAAAGGUUGUUUGGUUGCCCCUCAAGAGGGUUCCUAAUAUCUUCGAGGUAGAGUAAGUCGUAACAUAGU